UGGGGAAUUUUGGACAAUGGGCGAAAGCCUGAUCCAGCAAUGCCGCGUGUGUGAAGAAGGCCUUCGGGUUGUAAAGCACUUUUGUCCGGAAAGAAAUCCUUGGCUCUAAUACAGUCGGGGGAUGACGGUACCGGAAGAAUAAGCACCGGCUAACUACGUGCCAGCAGCCGCGGUAAUACGUAGGGUGCAAGCGUUAAUCGGAAUUACUGGGCGUAAAGCGUGCGCAGGCGGUUUGCUAAGACCGAUGUGAAAUCCCCGGGCUCAACCUGGGAACUGCAUUGGUGACUGGCAGGCUAGAGUAUGGCAGAGGGGGUAGAAUUCCACGUGUAGCAGUGAAAUGCGUAGAGAUGUGGAGGAAUACCGAUGGCGAAGGCAGCCCCCUGGGCCAAUACUGACGCUCAUGCACGAAAGCGUGGGGAGCAAACAGGAUUAGAUACCCUGGUAGUCCACGCCCUAAACGAUGUCAACUAGUUGUUGGGGAUUCAUUUCCUUAGUAACGUAGCUAACGCGUGAAGUUGACCGCCUGGGGAGUACGGCCGCAAGGCU
This 546-nucleotide ribosomal RNA is filed under the name uncultured bacterium. RNAcentral's name for it is "partial 16S ribosomal RNA". It matches the Rfam family "Bacterial small subunit ribosomal RNA", at positions 355 to 895 of the family's 1533-position model. The record is from RNAcentral.